This 63-nucleotide transfer RNA is filed under the name Tetraserica leishanica. RNAcentral's name for it is "tRNA-Ile". The record is from RNAcentral. Lineage: Eukaryota; Metazoa; Arthropoda; Insecta; Coleoptera; Scarabaeidae.
GAUGAAGUGUCUGAAAAAGAGUUAUUUUGAUAGAAUAAAUUAUGUGAAAAAUCACCUUCAUUA